Molecule: ribosomal RNA, 253 nt
Filed under: uncultured bacterium
Lineage: Bacteria
Description: partial 16S ribosomal RNA
Rfam family: Bacterial small subunit ribosomal RNA
Source: RNAcentral
UACGUAGGGGGCAAGCGUUGUCCGGAUUUAUUGGGCGUAAAGAGCGUGUAGGCGGUUUGGUAGGUCCGUUGUGAAAACUCGAGGCUCAACCUCGAGACGCCGAUGGAAACCAUCAGACUAGAGUCCGGAAGAGGAGAGUGGAAUUCCUGGUGUAGCGGUGAAAUGCGUAGAUAUCAGGAGGAACACCUGUGGCGAAAGCGGCUCACUGGACCAUUACUGACGCUGAGGCUCGAAAGCUAGGGGAGCAAACAGG